Molecule: long non-coding RNA, 247 nt
Filed under: Sarcophilus harrisii (Tasmanian devil)
Lineage: Eukaryota; Metazoa; Chordata; Mammalia; Dasyuromorphia; Dasyuridae
Description: lncRNA (ENSSHAG00000024518.1)
Source: RNAcentral
CAGAUGCUUUGUCUUUUGCAGGCUUCCUUAAGCUAACGCCUAGGAGUAGAAGGGAAACUGACUGACUUCUAAGCUGCACUUGGUUCAGACUUUGGAAGCCCACUGCAAGAGCUCAAGGGAUAGUUCCUAAGAGUAAAUAAAUUUAUGAGACCCAAGAUUACCGUGCAUUCACAAGGCACAAUAUAUCCCAUUACAACAAAAGAAAUGAUAUAUUAAGGAAGAUGAGUAAUCUUGGAUCACAAAAGAA